AGGCAGGAGGCAGAGCACACCCAACUGGAGGGUGGAUAAAGGUCGCAAGCCUAUUUGCCCACACCUGGCAACAAUCUGCAGCAUUUGAAUGCCACACAGUAAGAUUGGAGCAGCUCCCAGCAAGGACAGUUCGCUCAUUGAGCAAGAAAGGGUAAAGCAUCUGCGGCGUCUCCAGGGCUGCAGGGACAGGAGCGUUCAAGGUGGAUUCUUAACCACUGCACCACCAGGGAAGUCCUGUCCUCAAAACAUUUCUAACAUGGGUGAAGAAGUAGAGUCUGACCCAACACACUUCUCUUUCACUAUGCCCCAUGUAAAUCGCAGGCAAAUGGCGCAUCUCGUGGACCACCCUGGCAAAACAAUGUCGCGUUUCCCCCUGUAUCUUCUGCUGACGUCUAAGGGACUGGCAAUGAGGAUGGAUGCACAGAGGCCUGGAGCAGUAAUCAAGUACCAUCUACCUUUUUCCCCCCUUUUCUUUUUUCAAAAAUAAAGGCCAGGCCAUGUUUUCUGAGCCGAGGAGGCUGGAUUCCUACUCAGCCUCUGGAAAUGGCGUAUUUCACAUAAAAAUACACCCAUUACACCAUUUUCUUUUCAUGACAAAGUGAGGAUUUCAUGGCUUUCCUUUAUUUUCAUUACAGUGCCGUUUCGAUCGGCCAUACAUGUAGAUUUCUUAUUGCUUGCUAAGCUACAUAUCUCAGUACAUCUAAUGUCAUAAUUAAA
This is a long non-coding RNA of Hippopotamus amphibius kiboko, 717 nucleotides long. RefSeq lists it as uncharacterized. NCBI's taxonomy places the organism in Eukaryota, Metazoa, Chordata, Mammalia, Artiodactyla, Hippopotamidae. The record is from RefSeq and is a predicted model, not a curated record. The transcript has 4 exons.